AUGCCCACUGUGAGCCCAAAACCCCGCGGGAUCCCUGCAGGGUGGGACAAACCCAGCUGGUCACCACUCAGGGAGGAGGUUCCCCUCUUUGGGACUGGCCUUAUCUCAGCCCUCAGGGGCCGCUGCCCUUCGGAUCCAGCCCGGACACCCCAAAUCCCCCCUGGUACGUGCCCCCACUCCCCGUCACACCCCGUGAGCCCCCACCAAGCCGGGCUGAUCGCGUUCGAGCUUUCCGGGGCCCUUCUCACGGCUUUGUUUGAGCCCCGGACCCGUGCCAGGCUGCCCGAGCCCUCCUGUCCCUCCUGUCCCUCCUGUCCCGCCUUUGGGCUGCUCCAGCUCAAUCCCGGCUCACAGAGAGCGGGGAGGAGCCCGGGGAAGGGACACCCGGCCGGUCCCAGCUGCCGCACACCCGGGAGAGCCGCGCUGGCACAGCCCCGCCGGGACCCGCCCGCUGACGCUGCCCGUUCUCUCUGUCCCCAGCGCACCCGCGGGUGUCCCUGGGCGCGGGGCUGUCCCUCCUCUGCCUCGGCGUCCUCCAGGGCUGUGCCAUGUGCUGGUGGCACCGCCGGGGCCCGGGGUGCCCCCUGGGCCGGCAGCGAGCGGAGCUGGGGCGGCUCUGCCCGCGGCCACGGUGCCCAUCCAGCAGCGCGGCGAGGAGCGGACGGGGAAGGAGAUUUCCCCGGUAUCACCGGCACCCCACAGGGGUUCACCCCACGGCACAGCAUCCCUGCCCGCCCUCCCCUUCCUCCCGCAGCCGGCGGGGCUGUGGCAGCGGCCCCGAACUGCUCUGCACCGAGCGGAGCCGCCGGUCCCCGCCGCCCCGGGCUCCGGGCAGCGUCCCCGGCUCCGCUGCCACCUCUGCUACUCCCUGCCCGAGGCCACCCUCGCUGUCACCAUCCUCGGCGUGUCACAUCUGCCCCGGGGCCAGCAGGGCUCCCUCGUCGAGGUGUCCCUGGUGUGGCUGUCCCGCCGCGUGUCCGUGCGACGCGGGAGCCGCCGGGAGCCGCCGGGAGCCGGUGCCGGUGCCGGUGCCGGUGCCGGUGCCGGUGCCGGUGCCGGUUCGGUCCGUGA
RNAcentral lists this long non-coding RNA (1071 nucleotides) under Taeniopygia guttata (zebra finch). RNAcentral describes it as "lncRNA (ENSTGUG00000026515.1)". The record is from RNAcentral. Lineage: Eukaryota; Metazoa; Chordata; Aves; Passeriformes; Estrildidae.